Molecule: ribosomal RNA, 1542 nt
Filed under: Strongylocentrotus pallidus (pale sea urchin)
Lineage: Eukaryota; Metazoa; Echinodermata; Echinoidea; Camarodonta; Strongylocentrotidae
Description: 16S ribosomal RNA
Rfam family: Bacterial large subunit ribosomal RNA
Source: RNAcentral
AAAAGUUAUAAGUCUAGGUGCAUUAGAAAAUCCAAACAAUAAAUUCCUAUAAAAUAGAAAACACUCCUACUCUCUAGUAAAUUCAUUUGAACUCUUAUUUUAACCUAAAGAAGCAGUACCGCAAGGGAAAGAUGAAAUACCCAUAAUUAAACAAACCUAAAACAGGAAAGACUAAGCCUUUUACCUUGUGUAUAAUGGAUUAACGAGAAAUAUAAGAAAACCCAUUCUAAUCCCGAAACUGGACGAGCUAAUCUUCCCUCCUUUUUAGAAGGAUAUCCCCACUGUUGCAAUAGUGGAAAAAAAGGGGAGAUUAGAUGUGAAAUGCUAACCGCGCCCAGAGAUAGCUGGUUUCCCAAAAAAUUAGUUUGAGCUAAGCCCCGAUAAGAAAAAUAAAACUCCUUUAAUAAUAUAAAAAGAAUCUUUUAAUUUUUAAGCAGAGGUUAGGGCCUUAAGGAUAAGCUUAAAGCCCACAAUGGAAAAAUCCAACAUUGAUAGUUAAAGACAACAAGCCCCCAAAAUAGCUAUUCUCGAAGGAAUAGGCCUAGAAGCAGCCACUUAACAAGAAAGCGUUAAAGCUCAAUUGUUCUUGCUAGCUAAAAAAUUUUUGGUGAUCAUCUCUAAUACUACAAAAAUUUAUUGGGACAUUCUGUAAUCAGAAGAGACAAUGUUAAUAUAAGUAAGAAAGCUUCACCUGCGUUUUAUACGCUUUUAACCAUGGAAGAGAAAACAUUGAAACUAAGAAUCCUGUUUUUAAGGUCGUCUUCCAACUCAGGAGAAGAAAAAUAAAAGAAGUGAAGAAAAGGAACUCGGCAAAUAAGGGUUUCGCCUGUUUACCAAAAACAUCGCUCCCCGAAUUUAAAACAUGGGGAGUCCUGCCUGCCCAGUGACUAGAGGUUAAACGGCCGCGGUAUCUUGACCGUGCGAAGGUAGCAUAAUCAUUUGUCUCCUAAAUAGAGACUAGUAUGAAUGGCAAGACGGAACUAAACUGUCUCUUUUUCAUAGCCCUGAAUUUCACCUCCCCGUGAAGAGGCGGGGAUAAAAUCGUUAGACGAGAAGACCCUGUCGAGCUUUGAGCGGAAGUUAAAAUUUUAACACACUUACCUUGCGACUAACUAAUAUACCUAUCCAACAGUAAGUUUUAAACUAUUUAGCAAAAGCUUUGGUUGGGGCAACCGCGGAGUAAGAAGAUCCUCCGCUAAUAGAAUAUUACUAUAAUAAGAAUUACAAUUCUACAAUCAAAAUGAAAGAGUGAUCCACUAAGGUGAUCAAAGAAACAAGUUACCGCAGGGAUAACAGCGUUAUCUUUUCUGAGAGUUCACAUUGACGAAAAGGUUUGCGACCUCGAUGUUGGAUCGGGACAUCCUGAGGGUGCAGAAGCUUUUAAGGGUUGGUCUGUUCGACCAUUAAAGUCCUACGUGAUCUGAGUUCAGACCGGCGAGAGCCAGGUCAGUUUCUAUCUACGUUAAGGUCUCUCUUAGUACGAAAGGACCAGAGAGAAAGUGUCUAUGCAAGAAACGUAAGCACUUCAAUUAAAAACAUGCA